UAUCCAUGCAAGUCGAGCGAGUCCCUUCGGGGGCUAACGGCGGACGGGUGAGUGACACGUAGGCAACCUGCCCGUAAGCUCGGGAUAACAUGGGGAAACUCAUGCUAAUACCGGAUAGGGUCUUCUCUCGCAUGAGAGGAGACGGAAAGGUGGCGCACGCUACCACUUACGGAUGGGCCUGCGGCGCAAUAGCUAGUUGGUGGGGUAACGGCCUACCAACGCCACGAUGCCUAUCCCACCUGAGAGGGUGACCGGCCACACUGGGACUGAGACACGGCCCAGACUCCUACUGCAGGCAGCAGUAGGGAAUUUUCCACAAUGGACGAAAGUCUGAUGGAGCAACGCCCCGUGAACGAUGAAGGUCUUCGGAUUGUAAAGUUCUGUUGUCAGAGACGAACAAGUACCGUUCGAACAGGGCGGUACCUUGACGGUACCUGACGAGAAAGCCACGGCUAACUACGUGCCAGCAGCCGCGGUAAUACGUAGGUGGCAAGCGUUGUCCGGAAUUAUUGGGCGUAAAGCGCGCGCAGGCGGCUAUGUAAGUCUGGUGUUAAAGCCCGGGGCUCAACCCCGGUUCGCAUCUGAAACUGUGUAGCUUGAGUGCAGAACAGGAAAGCGGUAUUCCACGUGUAGCGGUGAAAUGCGUAGAGAUGUGGAGGAACACCAGUGGCGAAGGCGGCUGUCUGGUCUGUAACUGACGCUGAGGCGCGAAAGCGUGGGGAGCAAUCAGGAUUAGAAACCCUGGUAGUCCACGCCGGUAACGAUGACUGCUAGUGUUUGGGGU
Molecule: ribosomal RNA, 784 nt
Filed under: Brevibacillus borstelensis
Lineage: Bacteria; Bacillati; Bacillota; Bacilli; Caryophanales; Paenibacillaceae
Description: bacterial SSU rRNA
Rfam family: Bacterial small subunit ribosomal RNA
Source: RNAcentral